RNAcentral lists this ribosomal RNA (410 nucleotides) under Verrucomicrobiota bacterium. RNAcentral's name for it is "Verrucomicrobia bacterium partial 16S ribosomal RNA". It matches the Rfam family "Bacterial small subunit ribosomal RNA", at positions 355 to 776 of the family's 1533-position model. The record is from RNAcentral. Lineage: Bacteria; Pseudomonadati; Verrucomicrobiota.
UGGGGAAUCUUGCACAAUGGGCGAAAGCCUGAUGCAGCGACGCCGCGUGCGGGAUGAAGGCCUUCGGGUUGUAAACCGCUUUCAGCAGGGACGAGGCCGCAAGGUGACGGUACCUGCAGAAGAAGCCCCGGCUAACUACGUGCCAGCAGCCGCGGUAAUACGUAGGGGGCAAGCGUUAUCCGGAUUCAUUGGGCGUAAAGCGCGCGUAGGCGGUCUGUUAGGUCAGGAGUUAAAUCUGGGGGCUCAACCCCUAUCCGCUCCUGAUACCGGCAGGCUUGAGUCUGGUAGGGGAAGAUGGAAUUCCAAGGGUAGCGGUGAAAUGCGCAGAUAUUUGGAAGAACGCCGGUGGCGAAGGCGGUCUUCUGGGCCAUGACUGACGCUGAGGCGCGAAAGCUAGGGGAGCGAACAGG